This 873-nucleotide long non-coding RNA is filed under the name Homo sapiens (human). RNAcentral describes it as "HSALNT0082625". Lineage: Eukaryota; Metazoa; Chordata; Mammalia; Primates; Hominidae. The record is from RNAcentral.
UCUGCUCGAAAGUGUCCAGCUGCCCAUUCCCUCUAAAGUGACGUCUGUAUCACUUCUGCUCGAAAGUGUCCAGCUGCCCAUUCCCUCUGAAGUGACGUCUGUAUCACUCCUGCUCGAAAGUGUCCAGCUGCCCAUUCCCUCUGAAGUGACGUCUGUAUCACUUCUGCUCGAAAGUGUCCAGCUGCCCGUUCCCUCUAAAGUGACGUCUGUAUCACUUCUGCUCGAAAGUGUCCAGCUGCCCGUUCCCUCUGAAAUGACAUCUGUAUCACUUCUGCUCGAAAGUGUCCAGCUGCCCGUUCCCUCUGAAAUGACGUCUGUAUCACUCCUGCUCGAAAGCAUCCAGCUGCCCAUUCCCUCUGAAAUGACAUCUCCAUCACUCCUGCUUGAAAGCUCUCUCUGACACCUUCAAGGAGGCACAAUAAAGUGAUGGUCGCCCCAUUGCGUAUAGAGGAAAUGGAGGAAAACUUGGAAGUACCGCCUUCCAUACAAAGUCAAGGAUCGAGACCUUCCUCUCCGCGUUCCAGAAUCCCUCAGGAAAUACGCGCGUGCCUUCGCAUCUAGAGCAAGCGCUGCAAGAAUUCACAGAACGGCCAGAAGUUCCCCAUCCCGCUGGUGGCACUCACUGCGUUAGGCGCUCAGCCUCCAGUCCGGGCCGCUUUGGCUUGAAGACGGCCGUUUUCCUUCCUGAUACCUGCUUCUAGUCUUUCUGCAACUUCUGGAUUCCUGUCAUUCUUAUACCUGCUCUGGGCAGCCUUCCAUUCAUUCUGCGAAUUCCGUGAAGCUUUUCAAUAAAUUGCUUUUCUCCAAUUAGCCUAAAUCUCUUUCAGUUAUUGGCAGCCCAGUGCCCUGACCCAGCCAAGCACUGUAGACAGU